Rhodococcus pyridinivorans SB3094 is the source of this 169-nucleotide non-coding RNA. The record is from Rfam. Lineage: Bacteria; Bacillati; Actinomycetota; Actinomycetes; Mycobacteriales; Nocardiaceae.
UUGCACUGUUCGUAGCGACGUAGGGAACAACGGUGCGAAUCCGUGGCUGUCCCGCAACUGUCACCGAGGAGUGAUCCCCCAACAGCAUGGUCACGGCCCACAGGGGUUGGAAGGCCGGGGCGAGCGUCGAUCCGGGAGCCAGGACACCUGCGUCGCCGAAGCAGGACCC